GCCCGCCUAGCUCAAUCGGAUAGAGCGUCAGACUCUUAGUUCAUGACAACAGGCGGGUAUCUGAAGGCUGCGAGUUCGACCCUCGCGGUGGGCU
Molecule: non-coding RNA, 94 nt
Organism: Mycena olivaceomarginata
Lineage: Eukaryota; Fungi; Basidiomycota; Agaricomycetes; Agaricales; Mycenaceae
Source: the annotation of a GenBank genome assembly